GACGAACGCUGGCGGCGUGCUUAACACAUGCCAGUCGAACGGAAAGGCCCUGCUUGCAGGGUACUCGAGUGGCGAACGGGUGAGUAACACGUGGGUGAUCUGCCCUGCACUUCGGGAUAAGCCUGGGAAACUGGGUCUAAUACCGGAUAGGAGCCAUUUUUAGUGUGAUGGUUGGAAAGUUUUUUCGGUGUAGGAUGAGCUCGCGGCCUAUCAGCUUGUUGGUGGGGUAAUGGCCUACCAAGGCGGCGACGGGUAGCCGGCCUGAGAGGGUGGACGGCCACAUUGGGACUGAGAUACGGCCCAGACUCCUACGGGAGGCAGCAGUGGGGAAGAUUGCACAAUGGGCGCAAGCCUGAUGCAGCGACGCCGCGUGGGGGAUGACGGCCUUCGGGUUGGAAACUCCUUUCGCUAGGGACGAAGCUUUUUGUGACGGUACCUAGAUAAGAAGCACCGGCUAACUACGUG
Molecule: ribosomal RNA, 465 nt
Filed under: uncultured bacterium
Lineage: Bacteria
Description: partial 16S ribosomal RNA
Rfam family: Bacterial small subunit ribosomal RNA
Source: RNAcentral